Molecule: unclassified non-coding RNA, 395 nt
Filed under: soil metagenome
Description: partial contains 5.8S ribosomal RNA, internal transcribed spacer 2, and large subunit ribosomal RNA
Rfam family: 5.8S ribosomal RNA (bases 1-121)
Source: RNAcentral
GAUGAAGAACGUAGCGAACGUGCGAAACGUAAUGUGAAUUGCAGAAUUCAGUGAAUCAUCGAAUCUUUGAACGCAUCUUGCGCUCCUUGGUAUUCCGAGGAGCAUGCCUGUUUGAGUGUCGUGAAUACUCUCAACUUCAACCCAUUUUUCGGAAAGGGAGGAAGGUUGGACUUGGGUGUUUGUUGAAGUGCGAGCUUCGACUCAUCCUAAAUGCAUUAGCGAUCUGCCUCGAUCACACACAAUGUGAUAAUUAAAACUAAAGCAUUGUUUAAUGAUCAAGUCGAGACUGCUUCUAACUGUCGCAAGACAAUAACGUGCAUACAUUUGUGCAUGUCAUUUGACCUCAAAUCAGGUAGGACUACCCGCUGAACUUAAGCAUAUCAAUAAGCGGAGGA